Molecule: long non-coding RNA, 420 nt
Filed under: Pan troglodytes (chimpanzee)
Lineage: Eukaryota; Metazoa; Chordata; Mammalia; Primates; Hominidae
Description: long non-coding RNA NONPTRT005539
Source: RNAcentral
GUGAUAGACCUUCAGUUACAGAGAGAGGGAGCAGAGUGGGACCAGGUCUGAGAAUAGUGAAGCAACUCAUUCCUUUCAGGACAUUCCCUCUGAUGUCCUAUUUUCAAACUGUUUGAAGACUGCUUCAUUCUGCCUCUAGUACCAGCGGUUUCUCUGUUCUGUGAUCAAUGUGAUUCACAGGAACUCCUUAAGUAACAAACGAAAUGAGCCAGGGGCGUGGAAAAUAUGACUUCUAUAUUGGUCUGGGAUUGGCUAUGAGCUCCAGCAUUUUCAUUGGAGGAAGUUUCAUUUUGAAAAAAAAAGGCCUCCUUCGACUUGCCAGGAAAGGCUCUAUGAGAGCAGGUCAAGGUGGCCAUGCAUAUCUUAAGGAAUGGUUGUGGUGGGCUGGACUGCUGUCAAUGAAUUAGUGCAGUUCAAAAC